AGUGAACGCUGGCGGUAGGCCUAACACAUGCAAGUCGAACGGCAGCACAGGAGAGCUUGCUCUCUGGGUGGCGAGUGGCGGACGGGUGAGGAAUACAUCGGAAUCUACUUUUUCGUGGGGGAUAACGUAGGGAAACUUACGCUAAUACCGCAUACGACCUACGGGUGAAAGCAGGGGACCUUCGGGCCUUGCGCGAUUGAAUGAGCCGAUGUCGGAUUAGCUAGUUGGCGGGGUAAAGGCCCACCAAGGCGACGAUCCGUAGCUGGUCUGAGAGGAUGAUCAGCCAAAAUGGAACUGAGAAACGGUCCAGACUCCUACGGGAGGCAGCAGUGGGGAAUAUUGGACAAUGGGCGCAAGCCUGAUCCAGCCAUACCGCGUGGGUGAAGAAGGCCUUCGGGUUGUAAAGCCCUUUUGUUGGGAAAGAAAUCCAGCUGGCUAAUACCCGGUUGGGAUGACGGUACCCAAAGAAUAAGCACCGGCUAACUUCGUGCCAGCCGCCGCGGUAA
RNAcentral lists this ribosomal RNA (506 nucleotides) under uncultured bacterium. Its description in RNAcentral is "partial 16S ribosomal RNA". It matches the Rfam family "Bacterial small subunit ribosomal RNA", at positions 29 to 523 of the family's 1533-position model. The record is from RNAcentral.